GCGCAGAGAGAAGCCGCUGCUGGUUCUUGUACUCCUAUCAAAGUUUGCAGGCCACUUCUUCUCACACUUUCAUCUGAAGUUGUCGGCGGAGCCUGGAACCGCCCAGCGAAGAGGAGCGGCCACAGCCUGUCCCCGCUUUAACUGACACGGGCUACUUGCCAAAACUGUUACUAAGCCGGCGUACGUACGACCGGGUGCUUCCGGAAGUUCUUUUCAAAAUAAAAUGCAAACGUUUUCA
This is a long non-coding RNA of Poecilia reticulata (guppy), 238 nucleotides long. RefSeq lists it as uncharacterized. The record is from RefSeq and is a predicted model, not a curated record. Lineage: Eukaryota; Metazoa; Chordata; Actinopteri; Cyprinodontiformes; Poeciliidae.